Molecule: long non-coding RNA, 509 nt
Organism: Zalophus californianus (California sea lion)
Lineage: Eukaryota; Metazoa; Chordata; Mammalia; Carnivora; Otariidae
Exons: 3
Source: RefSeq, a predicted model, not a curated record
UGGGGCCAGCGGUUGUGCUGUCUUGGGUGCCCUUCUCCUGGGUCCUAAGGUGGGCUGCAGAGCUGAUUAGGCUCACUGCUGCAGGGCAGCUUCCCAGGGGCUCAACACGAGGCGCCCUCCACCCUCAGACUCUCCCGACCUUCUGCUCCUCGUGGCGGUGUGUCCACAAAUACCCUCAAAACCACCAGGAGCUGUGAUGGCCCCUUCUGAUCAGGUGGGUCAGCCACAGUCCCAGCUGGUGCUGUCUGUUCGAGACCGAGCAGCCUCUGUAAGAUGGAUGCCAGCGUUCUCCCUGCCCAGUGAAUUCAAGCAGCAGUGAAGAUCUGCCCAUAGAAUCCCCUACUUAAUUGCAGCUCACGCUGAAAAUCACUAGCUCAAGGCCUUCUCUCCUCAACUCUGUUGGAAGUCAUUGUGGGCAAGGGGCUCUUUUUGGUUUCCCCCGUGCCCAGUCCAGCGAUGGGCAAAUCCAGCACUUUGCCAUGUGUGGCAUCUGGUAGACUCUCAAUAAA